AAAAGGAGAAAAAAGUUGGUAAAUUGAAGGCUAAGAAGAUCAAGCUCUAGGGACUUCAAUGUUGUUUAAUGACUAAUUUUAACUUAGGAAACAAACCUAUAUUUUUGUGAUGACUGAUUCGUAGCUAAUUGUGCACUGUUUUUGUGGUGAAUCAGUUGUGGAAGUUGUAUUGAUUCACCCCAAAAAUCUUUUGUUGUGCUUAUAUUUGGGUGAAAGAUGUAUUGUUAAGUAUUUUGUUGGCUAAAUAUAACUAUGCCUUGUUAUUAGGAUGAAAGUUGUAUUGCUUAACUAUUUUGUUGGUAACAGUUGUGGAAGUUGUAUUGUUAAGUAUGUAUUGCCUUGUUGUUGGCUAUAUAUAACUAUGUAUUGUUAUUAUGGUGAAAGUUAUAUUGUCAACUAUUUUGUUG
RNAcentral lists this long non-coding RNA (407 nucleotides) under Nicotiana benthamiana. Its description in RNAcentral is "long non-coding RNA (NBEN_LNC019478)". Lineage: Eukaryota; Viridiplantae; Streptophyta; Magnoliopsida; Solanales; Solanaceae. The record is from RNAcentral.